CCUACGGGGGGCUGCAGUGAGGAAUACUGGUCAAUGGGCGUAAGCCUGAACCAGCCAAGUCGCGUGAGGGAUGAAGGUUCUAUGGAUCGUAAACCUCUUUUAUCAGGGAAUAAAGUGUGGGACGUGUCCUGUUUUGUAUGUACCUUAUGAAUAAGGAUCGGCUAACUCCGUGCCAGCAGCCGCGGUAAUACGGAGGAUCCGAGCGUUAUCCGGAUUUAUUGGGUUUAAAGGGUGCGUAGGCGGCCUUGUAAGUCAGCGGUGAAAGUCUGUGGCUCAACCAUAGAAUUGCCGUUGAAACUGGGAGGCUUGAGUAUGUUUGAGGCAGGCGGAAUGCGUGGUGUAGCGGUGAAAUGCUUAGAUAUCACGCAGAACCCCGAUUGCGAAGGCAGCCUGCCAAGCCAUGACUGACGCUGAUGCACGAAAGCGUGGGGAUCAAACAGGAUUAGAUACCCGGGUAGUC
RNAcentral lists this ribosomal RNA (460 nucleotides) under uncultured bacterium. RNAcentral's name for it is "partial 16S ribosomal RNA". It matches the Rfam family "Bacterial small subunit ribosomal RNA", at positions 338 to 795 of the family's 1533-position model. The record is from RNAcentral.